Molecule: ribosomal RNA, 344 nt
Filed under: uncultured soil bacterium
Lineage: Bacteria
Description: bacterial SSU rRNA
Rfam family: Bacterial small subunit ribosomal RNA
Source: RNAcentral
AGAACGAACGCUGGCGGCAUGCCUAAUACAUGCAAGUCGAACGAAGGCUUCGGCCUUAGUGGCGCACGGGUGCGUAACGCGUGGGAAUCUGCCCCUUGGUUCGGAAUAACAGUUGGAAACGACUGCUAAUACCGGAUGAUGACGAAAGUCCAAAGAUUUGUCGCCAAGGGAUGAGCCCGCGUAGGAUUAGCUAGUUGGUGAGGUAAAGGCUCACCAAGGCGACGAUCCUUAGCUGGUCUGAGAGGAUGAUCAGCCACACUGGGACUGAGACACGGCCCAGACUCCUACGGGAGCAGCAGUAGGGAAUAUUGGACAAUGGGCGAAAGCCUGAUCCAGCAAUGCCG